RNAcentral lists this ribosomal RNA (1486 nucleotides) under metagenome. RNAcentral describes it as "bacterial SSU rRNA". It matches the Rfam family "Bacterial small subunit ribosomal RNA". The record is from RNAcentral.
AGAGUUUGAUUCUGGCUCAGAACGAACGCUGGCGGCGUGGAUAAGACAUGCAAGUCGAACGGAGUGCAUCCAGUAGCAAUAUUGCCUGCACUCAGUGGCGAAAGGGUGCGUAACGCGUGAGUAAUCUACCGAAAAGUGGGGGAUAGCUCGCCGAAAGGCGAAUUAAUACCGCAUACCGCGCAAUUGAACAUUCAAAUGCGCAAAAGCCGGAGCAAUCCGGCGCUUAUUGAUGAGCUCGCGGCCUAUCAGCUAGUUGGUGGGAUAAAAGCCCACCAAGGCUAUGACGGGUAGCUGGUCUGAGAGGACGACCAGCCACACUGGAACUGAGACACGGUCCAGACACCUACGGGUGGCAGCAGUCGAGAAUUUUUCUCAAUGGGCGCAAGCCUGAAGGAGCGACGCCGCGUGGAGGAUGAAGGUCUUCGGAUUGUAAACUCCUGUCAUUGGUGAACAAAGCUAAGUUGCUUCACGGCAAUUUAGUCUGAUAGUAGCCAAAGAGGAAGAGACGGCUAACUCUGUGCCAGCAGCCGCGGUAAUACAGAGGUCUCAAGCGUUGUUCGGAUUUAUUGGGCGUAAAGGGUGCGUAGGCGGCGGGGCUAGUUGGAUGUGAAACGCCGUGGCUCAACCACGGCACUGCAUUCAAUACUGCCCUGCUAGAGCACUAGCGAGGAGGCUGGAAUUUACGGUGUAGCAGUGAAAUGCGUAGAUAUCGUAAGGAACACCAGUGGCGAAAGCGAGCCUCUAGAUAGUUUGCUGACGCUGAGGCACGAAAGCCAGGGGAGCAAACGGGAUUAGAUACCCCGGUAGUCCUGGCAGUAAACGGUGCGCGUUUGGUGUGAGAGGGAUCGACCCCUCUCGCGCCGGAGCUAACGCAUUAAACGCGCCGCCUGGGGAAUACGGUCGCAAGACUAAAACUCAAAGAAAUUGACGGGGGCCCGCACAAGCGGUGGAGUAUGUGGCUUAAUUCGAUCCACGCGAAAAACCUUACCUGGGUUUGACAUGCACUGCUAAGGCGGCGAAAGCCUUCGAGAGUAGAAAUACUCACCCUGCACAGGUGCUGCAUGGCUGUCGUCAGCUCGUGUCGUGAGAUGUUGGGUUAAGUCCCGCAACGAGCGCAACCCUCGUGCGCUGUUGCCAACCUUAAAGUUGGCUCUCUGCGUAAACUGCCCCGUGAAACGGGGAGGAAGGUGAGGAUGACGUCAAGUCAGCAUGGCCCUUACACCCAGGGCUGCACACGUACUACAAUGCCCAGCACAAUUCGAGCCUGCGCUGCGAAGUGCGGGAAAUCAGUAAAGCUGGGCGCAGUUCGGAUUGCAGGCUGCAACUCGCCUGCAUGAAGCUGGAAUCGCUAGUAAUGGCACAUCAGCUACGGUGCCGUGAAUACGUUCCCGGGCCUUGUACACACCGCCCGUCACAUCAUGGAAGUCACUUGUUCCCAAAAAGUCAGAGUCUUCAGAUUCUUGGCUGUAAGGAAUGAGAGGUAACU